GACGAACGCUGGCGGCGUGCCUAAUACAUGCAAGUCGAGCGAAUCAAUGGGAGCUUGCUCCCUGAGAUUAGCGGCGGACGGGUGAGUAACACGUGGGUAACCUGCCUGUAAGACUGGGAUAACUUCGGGAAACCGGAGCUAAUACCGGAUACGUUCUUUUCUCGCAUGAGAAGAGAUGGAAAGAUGGUUCUGCUAUCACUUACAGAUGGACCCGCGGCGCAUUAGCUAGUUGGUGAGGUAACGGCUCACCAAGGCGACGAUGCGUAGCCGACCUGAGAGGGUGAUCGGCCACACGGGGACUGAGACACGGCCCAGACUCCGACGGGAGGCAGCAGUAGGGAAUCUUCCGCAAUGGACGAAAGUCUGACGGAGCAACGCCGCGUGAGCGAAGAAGGCCUUCGGGUCGUAAAGCUCUGUUGUUAGGGAAGAACAAGUACGAGAGUAACUGCUCGUACCUUGACGGUACCUAACCAGAAAGCCACGGCUAACUACGUGCCAGCAGCCGCCGUAA
RNAcentral lists this ribosomal RNA (511 nucleotides) under uncultured bacterium. RNAcentral's name for it is "partial 16S ribosomal RNA". It matches the Rfam family "Bacterial small subunit ribosomal RNA", at positions 28 to 523 of the family's 1533-position model. The record is from RNAcentral.